UCUCUCCCUGCUCUGCAUGGUUGCACCUGCCAUAACAUGUGUGACUUUCGUAAAGAGGAGAGAGAGAAAGGGCGCGCUCAGGACCUUGGGCAGGCCUCCUGUGGCCUGUCCCUUCUGGGGGGGCACAACAGGC
Molecule: small nucleolar RNA, 133 nt
Organism: Echinops telfairi (small Madagascar hedgehog)
Lineage: Eukaryota; Metazoa; Chordata; Mammalia; Afrosoricida; Tenrecidae
Source: Ensembl